RNAcentral lists this ribosomal RNA (716 nucleotides) under uncultured Acinetobacter sp. RNAcentral describes it as "bacterial SSU rRNA". It matches the Rfam family "Bacterial small subunit ribosomal RNA", at positions 56 to 766 of the family's 1533-position model. Lineage: Bacteria; Pseudomonadati; Pseudomonadota; Gammaproteobacteria; Moraxellales; Moraxellaceae. The record is from RNAcentral.
UGCAAGUCGAGCGGGGCGAUGUAGCUUGCUACAUUACCUAGCGGCGGACGGGUGAGUAAUGCUUAGGAAUCUGCCUAUUAGUGGGGGACAACAUUCCGAAAGGAAUGCUAAUACCGCAUACGCCCUACGGGGGAAAGCAGGGGAUCUUCGGACCUUGCGCUAAUAGAUGAGCCUAAGUCAGAUUAGCUAGUUGGUGGGGUAAAGGCCUACCAAGGCGACGAUCUGUAGCGGGUCUGAGAGGAUGACCCGCCACACUGGGACUGAGACACGGCCCAGACUCCUACGGGAGGCAGCAGUGGGGAAUAUUGGACAAUGGGCGAAAGCCUGAUCCAGCCAUGCCGCGUGUGUGAAGAAGGCCUUUUGGUUGUAAGGCACUUUAAGCGAGGAGGAGGCUACUUGGAUUAAUACUCUAGGAUAGUGGACGUUACUCGCAGAAUAAGCACCGGCUAACUCUGUGCCAGCAGCCGCGGUAAUACAGAGGGUGCGAGCGUUAAUCGGAUUUACUGGGCGUAAAGCGUGCGUAGGCGGCUUUUUAAGUCGGAUGUGAAAUCCCUGAGCUUAACUUAGGAAUUGCAUUCGAUACUGGGAAGCUAGAGUAUGGGAGAGGAUGGUAGAAUUCCAGGUGUAGCGGUGAAAUGCGUAGAGAUCUGGAGGAAUACCGAUGGCGAAGGCAGCCAUCUGGCCUAAUACUGACGCUGAGGUACGAAAGCAUGGGG